UACGGGGGUACAUCAGUGGCAGACGGGUGAGUAACACGUAGGUAACCUGCCCUCGAGACGGGGAUAACGGCUGGAAACGGUCGCUAAGACCCGAUAUAGUCUGACCUUCGGGAGAAGGUGAGAGGAAAGGCUUCGGUGCUCGGGGAGGGGCCUGCGGCCCAUCAGCUAGUUGGAGAGGUAACGGCUCCCCAAGGCAAUGACGGGUAGGGGGUGUGAGAGCAUGGCCCCCCACACUGGGACUGAGACACGGCCCAGACUCCUACGGGAGGCAGCAGCAGGGAAUAUUGCGCAAUGGACGGAAGUCUGACGCAGCGACGCCGCGUGGAUGAUGAAGGCCUUCGGGUUGUAAAAUCCUUUUCCGGGCGAUGAGACAGGACACUAGCCUGGGAAUAAGCGUCGGCUAACUACGUGCCAGCAGCCGCGGUAAGACGUAGGACGCGAGCGUUAUCCGGAUUUACUGGGCGUAAAGCGCCUGCAGGCGGUCAGGUAAGUCGGUUGUGAAAGCCCCGUGCUCAACGCGGGGAGGCCAAGCGAUACUGCGUGACUUGAGGGCGGAAGAGGGGAGUGGAAUUCCCGGUGUAGCGGUAAAAUGCGCAGAUAUCGGGAGGAACACCAGUGGCGAAGGCGGCUCCCUUGGACCGCACCUGACGCUCAGAGGCGAAAGCUAGGGGAGCGAACAGGAUUAGAGACCCUGGCAGUCCUAGCCCUAAACGCUGGAUGCUAGGUGUAGGGCUGAUGAGGCUCUGUGCCGGAGCGAACGCGAUAAGCAUCCCGCCUGGGAACUACGGCCGCAAGGCUAAAACUC
Molecule: ribosomal RNA, 805 nt
Filed under: uncultured organism
Description: bacterial SSU rRNA
Rfam family: Bacterial small subunit ribosomal RNA
Source: RNAcentral